This 362-nucleotide ribosomal RNA is filed under the name Tenderia electrophaga (SeqCode). RNAcentral describes it as "bacterial SSU rRNA". It matches the Rfam family "Bacterial small subunit ribosomal RNA", at positions 1 to 363 of the family's 1533-position model. The record is from RNAcentral. Lineage: Bacteria; Pseudomonadati; Pseudomonadota; Gammaproteobacteria; Tenderiales (SeqCode); Tenderiaceae (SeqCode).
UAGUAAGAUUAAACUGAAGAGUUUGAUCCUGGCUCAGAUUGAACGCUAGCGGCAUGCUUAACACAUGCAAGUCGAACGGAAACGAUGGUAGCUUGCUACCAGGCGUCGAGUGGCGGACGGGUGAGUAACGCGUGAGAAUCUGCCCAGUAGCGGGGGACAACCUGGUGAAAACCAGGCUAAUACCGCAUACGCCCUACGGGGGAAAGGCUUCGGCCACUAUUGGAUGAGCUCGCGUCGGAUUAGCUAGUUGGUGGGGUAAAGGCCUACCAAGGCGACGAUCCGUAGCUGGUUUGAGAGAAUGAUCAGCCACACUGGGACUGAGACACGGCCCAGACUCCUACGGGAGGCAGCAGUGGGGAAUA